AACGAACGCUGGCGGCAUGCCUAACACAUGCAAGUCGAACGAGACCUUCGGGUCUAGUGGCGCACGGGUGCGUAACGCGUGGGAACCUGCCCUUAGGUUCGGAAUAACUCCCCGAAAGGGGUGCUAAUACCGGAUAAUGUCUUCGGACCAAAGAUUUAUCGCCUUUGGAUGGGCCCGCGUUGGAUUAGCUAGUUGGUAGGGUAAAAGCCUACCAAGGCGACGAUCCAUAGCUGGUCUGAGAGGAUGAUCAGCCACACUGGGACUGAGACACGGCCCAGACUCCUACGGGAGGAAGCAGUGGGGAAUAUUGGACAAUGGGCGAAAGACUGAUCAAGCAAUGCCGCGUGAGUGAUGAAGGCCUUAGGGUUGUAAAGCUCUUUUACCCGGGAUGAUAAUGACAGUACCGGGAGAAUAAGCUCCGGCUAACUCCGUG
RNAcentral lists this ribosomal RNA (433 nucleotides) under uncultured bacterium. RNAcentral describes it as "partial 16S ribosomal RNA". It matches the Rfam family "Bacterial small subunit ribosomal RNA", at positions 29 to 507 of the family's 1533-position model. The record is from RNAcentral.